UGUUAUAGUUUUAACUUAUUGACUGCAUGACCCAGUGGUUUGAAUUGUUUUUAGUUCAAGUCAUUGGUAAAAACUAGGCUUAAAAAGAUGAGCUACUAUUUAAAGUGAGCUGCCCUGCCGAAUUAGUUCUCUGUGGCAGUUAAAUCUUUUUUCCAGAGUUGGGGCAUCACCCCCCAAACAAAACUAUGCAUGUAGAGGACAAGAUUUAAUUUCUUCCCUCCUCUUGCCCAGUAGCCACAUCUGGUUUACUCUGGCAGCGUCUACUAAGAAAUUCAGCACCUGCAUAUCUCAGUGACAAGAGGUCACUUACAGAUUAUCUUUCCCGUGAGUCUCUAGAUCUGUGAGUUGAACAGAUUUCUUGAUGCAGAUUGACCUUUAAUGCAAAAACUAUAUUAUCUUCAAAUGACUUUUUGUCUUAGUGUGCUUUAAGAGGUGAUAGGGUAAUUCUGUGUUUUCUGAUGAGAAGAUUGAUAGGAGCUGAAUCCUAUGCUUCCAAACAACUGAAUGUAAAACACCCCUAGCCAGCUGUUGAAUUCCAUGCCCCUGUUUACUUCCAGUAUUUUCCUGCAAAAAUAGAGAAAAAUGUUGAUGACUGUUUCAAAUUCUCUCAGGAGCUCUAAUGUUCCAGGAGGCUGGUGGUUCCAGCUGUGUUUUGGUGGCAGUGUUCUCAAAACCCCUCAGAAUAGUAGAGUCACUGUUUGCUUCAUCCAGUGUGGUUUUCUAUAGGAAGAGAGAAGGCACAGACGAUCAAGGCUACAGAAUAGAGAAUUACCUGUACUGCUGGCCAUUUUAGAACACCAAAACUUGGGACAAAAUACUUCCUAACCUCUUAAACAGUUGUGCUAUCUGUAAUUAGUUUUAUUUUUGUCCUUUUAGUAAGCUCAGCAACUUUACCUUGUUUACAAAUGUAUUUACACCAUUUGCUUCAGGCUAUGGAGCACUAUUGUUUCCCUCUUUUUACUAUUUAUAGGAUUCCUUUUUCACAACACUUUUAAUAAAAACAAACUGUAGAAAUAAACACGUUAAAAUCUGCCCAGCUGUUGUCUAAGCCCUCUUGAUUGACUUGCCCAAAUGGCAAUCCAGUUCUAAGGUCUGCAAUAAGGGGAGAUUUGCUAUUGGCGGAAAGUGUUGACCCUGUAGAGAAACAGUAUGUGCCUUUGCCUCUUUGUGCACACUGGGUUACUAUGGCCCAGAGUGAAGGAAUGUUUGUUCCCAAUUUUUUAAAUAGAAUAAAAAAGCAAAUUCUUGAUGAUUUUUUUAAAAAACAAAAUACAAGAUGCUUAUUCAAUGCGAAAUGCCACUCUUCUAAAACCUGAGACAGGAUUAUUGACGUUUUAUGGUAGCUUCACAUUCUGGUAUAGUUUAAUAUGCCUUGGGGGCAGUUUGAAGCAGAUCUUAAUGCUAUUCGGUUUAAAAAUGAAUCCUAGAUAUGCAAAUGAUGAUUUUCUUAGAAAAAUGUUCACAAAAUGAAUUUAUUUAAUAACAGAGUAAUGAAUGUGUAUGGUUAUCAGUCACAUGCCUAUUCUGAAUUAAUAGCAAAAAGUUAAUUGACCUAGAUUGUUGAUAGUGCUGUAUAUGCUAUAUAAUACAACCUGGAGUACAUUAAACCGACAAACUCAUACUGGCAGUAGGACAGUAAAAAAGGAGUAAUUGUUUUUCCAAACUUUAAAGUUCUCAAGUACAAACAGAUUGAGUGAAAAAAACUAAGGUGCUUUUCAAAAGAAUAGCUGAAUUGUUACAGGCCAAAAUAGCAAUAUGCUACUCUCUUAAUUUAGUUCAAUAAGACCAGUGAAACUUUGGGUUCGCUAAUAAAUUCUGAGUAAAUUAAUGAUGAAAACAUAACUUGUUUCAGUGAGCCACUAAGGCAAGAAUAUUCUUCAUACAAAUACAAAAUGUGGUGCAACAAACCUGGCACCUCUUUGCAUAAACUGUUCAUCAUGACUUAAAGACUUAAUGUGCUGCUGUUGUAUUUCCAUAUAUUCCUGCAAUGUAGACUAUAUUUUAGUAACAACUGUGGAAAAAACUUGUCUUCCUCUACACAGACUAAUGAGCACAAUGAUACCACUUUUCUGUUGAAUAACAAUCGCAAUAAUUGCCUCUCAUGAGUGAGAAGUUUGUCUCAGUAUUUCUAAAGCUUUUUAAUUCUCUGGUUAUAUCAAAAGCCAGUUAUAUUAAUGGAGAGUAUUGUAUACCUACCUACUACUUUGAGAACUGAUUUUUUUUUUUUACAAAGACUGAUUUGCAUGGAUUGAGUUACACUAACUGCUGUUCAUUAAUGAAGAUUGUGGGACCGUUUUAAAGAAAUACUUGUCAACAGGAGUGGGUCCUCUGAACUUUUAAGACCAGUAGCCCUUAAGUUCCUCCAAAUCCACACCCUUUAUUCCUCCUUUUGCAUUGUCCUCUUGUAGGUGCCUCAGCCUUGGCAUCCCAGGAAAACUGUUACUGCUCAUCUAAUCCUAAUGAUGGUAUCUUGUGCCCUAAUUCUACUGCUUAGCAAAGAAGCAGUAUGUCUUUAAUAAAGGGUUCAGCCCAUUACUGUUCAACUCUAACCUGAGGCAGUACCACUCCUGUAACCCUCCUAUUCUGAAUUCUGAACUCCAGGUUACAAACAAGCGAACCGCUGAUCCUUUCAGUGUAAUGAAGCAUCUACUGUCAAGGAAAUCGUUUGUUAAGCCCCAUAUACAUACUGAAUUUUCAGAUCCAGAGAUGUUUACAUUUCUGGAUUAAAGUCAGUGUACUUUCAGAAAAUAAAGGCAUGUUUGAAAUUGUUUAGAUGUAAAUCUUAUUUGACUAUUACAAAAUGAAGAAGAAAAAUACUAUAACGUUUACAUUUUAAUUACUAUUAAAGCUUUAGUCUAUACAGUAGGAUUAUGUCGUACUGAAAACCGGUGGCUUUCUACAGAUUCUAAAGCCCAAGUAAUAAUAUACAUUUAGUCUAUUUCCUUGAGACAGCUUUGAAACAAUCUGAUUGAAAACACAUCUGAAACAACUGUCUAAUCAUAUUUUGCUAUAACAGAAAAUAGAUCCUUUUAUAUUUAACUUAAGGAAAAUACACUAGUGCAAGAAAGCAAAAAAUUUUGUGAAGGAAGGAAUCUUUGGACUUAAAUAUUUCUUUACUGUUUCUGUAAACUUUUUAAAAAUAUUUUAUUUAUUUAUUCAUGAGAGACACAGAGUGAGAGGGAGAGAGGCAGAGACAUAGGCAGAGAGAGAAGCAGGCCCCAUGUGGGGAGCCCGAUGUGGGACUCGAUCCUGGGACUGCGGGAUCACGACCUGAGCUGAAGGCAAAUGCUCAACUGCUGAGCCACCCAGGUGUCCCUUGUGUAAACUUUAAUUGCAGUUUGGACUGGCAGCAUCUUAGGUACUUGAUGAUGCUGACCAUUCAUUCAUAGUGUGUGUGUGUGUGUGUGUGUGACAGUUAAAAUAUCACUACAGCCAUUUUUAAUAUAUAUCAAACACUUAGGUUUAAUUUCAUUAACAGUUGAUCUUUAAAUACACUGAUUCAUGAAUAAGUGAAAACCUUACUUAUAGGUUUAAUAGACCUAUUUUUAAUAUGCAGUGAACCAUCACAGAUGCAUUACGAUCUUUUUUGUUUUGUUUUUUGCAUUAUGAUCUUCAAGCAGUUACUCUCCAGAAGUUUAAUCAGAAUCCCUAGUAACAGCUGUACCAUCAGAAAUAUUAUUCGAUAAAGCAUAUUGAAUGUAAGAAGGAGCAGACUUAGCUUUAUAUGCUUAAUUUCUUGAGCAAAGUAAAAAGUUAGACACCUGCAUUAAAAUACCCUGAAUGUUUCAAAGCUGAGAGUAAAAUCUGAUUAAAGAUUUACCUAACAUGUUAAAGUUAAGUAAAAGCCACCAAGUUGUCUAUGAAGAAACACCAAGAUGUGUUUCUUAUGGUAUGUUAUGCCACUUCACCAACCCCACAUCAAGGUGAAAAUGAUUAUGUAACAGAUUUGACUAUUUUAUCAAAAUAUUCUUACUCUUUUUAAAACGACUUCUUAAAAGCCAUUUUUAAGUCCUGCUUUGUACACGGUUGUUUACAUUAUCUUGAUUAAAGGUGUUCUGAAAUUUAAA
Molecule: long non-coding RNA, 4067 nt
Filed under: Canis lupus familiaris (dog)
Lineage: Eukaryota; Metazoa; Chordata; Mammalia; Carnivora; Canidae
Description: lncRNA (ENSCAFG00000053275.1)
Source: RNAcentral